RNAcentral lists this ribosomal RNA (822 nucleotides) under Bacillus sp. (in: firmicutes). RNAcentral describes it as "bacterial SSU rRNA". It matches the Rfam family "Bacterial small subunit ribosomal RNA", at positions 548 to 1370 of the family's 1533-position model. The record is from RNAcentral. Lineage: Bacteria; Bacillati; Bacillota; Bacilli; Caryophanales; Bacillaceae.
GAAUUAUUGGGCGUAAAGCGCGCGCAGGCGGUUUCUUAAGUCUGAUGUGAAAGCCCCCGGCUCAACCGGGGAGGGUCAUUGGAAACUGGGGAACUUGAGUGCAGAAGAGGAGAGUGGAAUUCCACGUGUAGCGGUGAAAUGCGUAGAGAUGUGGAGGAACACCAGUGGCGAAGGCGACUCUCUGGUCUGUAACUGACGCUGAGGCGCGAAAGCGUGGGGAGCGAACAGGAUUAGAUACCCUGGUAGUCCACGCCGUAAACGAUGAGUGCUAAGUGUUAGAGGGUUUCCGCCCUUUAGUGCUGCAGCAAACGCAUUAAGCACUCCGCCUGGGGAGUACGGUCGCAAGACUGAAACUCAAAGGAAUUGACGGGGGCCCGCACAAGCGGUGGAGCAUGUGGUUUAAUUCGAAGCAACGCGAAGAACCUUACCAGGUCUUGACAUCCUCUGACAACCCUAGAGAUAGGGCUUCCCCUUCGGGGGCAGAGUGACAGGUGGUGCAUGGUUGUCGUCAGCUCGUGUCGUGAGAUGUUGGGUUAAGUCCCGCAACGAGCGCAACCCUUGAUCUUAGUUGCCAGCAUUCAGUUGGGCACUCUAAGGUGACUGCCGGUGACAAACCGGAGGAAGGUGGGGAUGACGUCAAAUCAUCAUGCCCCUUAUGACCUGGGCUACACACGUGCUACAAUGGGCAGAACAAAGGGCAGCGAAGCCGCGAGGCUAAGCCAAUCCCACAAAUCUGUUCUCAGUUCGGAUCGCAGUCUGCAACUCGACUGCGUGAAGCUGGAAUCGCUAGUAAUCGCGGAUCAGCAUGCCGCGGUGAAUACG